This 239-nucleotide long non-coding RNA is filed under the name Durio zibethinus. RNAcentral describes it as "long non-coding RNA (DZIB_LNC001755)". The record is from RNAcentral. Lineage: Eukaryota; Viridiplantae; Streptophyta; Magnoliopsida; Malvales; Malvaceae.
GAAAGCACAAUUUCUCCCUCAGCAUCCAGCCAAGUCUCCUGCAUAAUAAAAGUUUUUUUUUUGGCGGGUAUGUCCACAUAUUUAUUCUCUGCCAACUUCUUCUCUCAACCAUUUGAUCAUUCUGGAUCAUCAAGGGGCUAACUGGAACCAUUUCCACUCUUAAGGAUUUGGAUUCUUUUCAGUUUGUAAGAGCUCCCAAAUCUCAUCUAUCGGCAGAAGAGGUUUAAAGAAUGAUGGGG